Long non-coding RNA from Xiphophorus hellerii (green swordtail), 5495 nucleotides. RefSeq lists it as uncharacterized. The transcript has 2 exons. The record is from RefSeq and is a predicted model, not a curated record. NCBI's taxonomy places the organism in Eukaryota, Metazoa, Chordata, Actinopteri, Cyprinodontiformes, Poeciliidae.
CAAAAAUGUGACUUUAGACUUAAGCACCAAGGGCCUUUUUUCUAACUUCCAUGUGAAGAGCAGUGACAAGAGCUCUGGUAUGUGAGGAAGGCAACCUGGAAGAAAGAGAGGAAGAAGGGAAAAAGAUUGAGAGAGAGGGAGAAUCAAUAGUGUUUAGACAGAGAAGUGGAGUCUAAGUGUGUGAUCAAUAGAGAGCAGAGAGGAGAGAUUAGCUGCUUUUCUCCCUCAAACUAACACUGACAAAUUGGUGAAUUGGUGUAUCGGCCCUUGGGCUAAACGGAUUGACCUGCUGUUUCCAUGUACCACCGUGUACUGUCAAUAAAGAUCUGUGUUCGUUGAGACUCUCAAUGAAGAGAGUGAAUGAAGCAGCAGAGGAGAGGAAAAGGCGAAUGGACAGCAGGAAACAAAAUGUAAGAAGUGCAACCUCAGGUAAGGCUGGAUACACACAAAAUGUCCUCACCUCUGUCUCAUUAACAAACGCGCAUUCACACGUGCAUCCUCGUGCACAGCGUUAUAAAACCAUAAUAACAUCUCCAGGAAAAUUAAUGGAAAGACAGAUUAAAAACUAAGUGAGGAGAAACGGGGCAGUGGUGUAGCUAUUUGCAACUCAUAAAUCAUCCUGACACACCCACGCGCAUGUCGACACACACACACAUGUGUAUACACACACACACUCACACACGUACUGUAAUUAACCACAGGCUAUUUACUCUCUCCUGCUGUAAAUUAGACAUGCAGACACAGUUAUUACAUUAGGGGAAUCUGCCAUGCAGAAUGCUAACAGGAAGAGGAGGGUGGCGGGACACACAGGUACACAACACAAGCAGCUCAUAUAAAAAUAAACACACACACACUUGCAUGUACACAAGAAAGAAGCUAUGGAAGAAUCAUAGACUGACAGGAGUGAAAAUGAAGCUGCAGCACAGAGAAUAGGGGCCCCCAGCUCUUUGUUCCCUGCUGCAUUUCAUUAUCUGAAACGCCAGCCGACACACACACGACUCACGCUCACACAGACACACGCAAACGCACCUCCCCCUCCCCUAAAGCUGUCUGCCUUCCACUCUAUGCACACCGCAUACACACAUAAAAAAAGAAGAGGAAAAUAGAGAUACUGCGUCAGUGCCAUUCACUGACAUCUGGAGUCGGUCAUGACAAGCAUGUCUGCAUGGUCAUCUUUAAAUCAGCAAGUGCAGAAGCUGCUCUGAGUCUCCCUCAUCUGUUCUCUAAAGAAAGCACUGUCCCAUAACUUCCAUUUUUAAGUACAGCAAAAAGAUACGUGGGCUUGAUUGAAGAAAGUAUUGGUAUUCUAUCUGGGGGAGCUUUUAACAGUUUUUCGUUUUUUAUUCUUGCAGUCUCUCUGUAUGUCCUCUUGUUUCCCCUGCCUCCCUCACCCCUCUCUGUCCCUCUGUUUUCCCACGGUGAUCGAUAGCUCAUUACAAUCAUUGACUGCAGCUCAUCAGCACCUGUUAGAACUGGAGAGACGGAAAAAGGCGCACAAGGCGUCUCGAGAUUAUCGAUAAGUAGUCGGAUCUACGUUGAAUUUGGCUUAUAGUUUCGAAUUGGGUAUUUUCUAUUGCACAUCCAUCGCCGCAGGUGUCUAGUUUGCCUCUGCUUUAUGGUCCGUGGUCUUGGGGAACAUCUUAUUAUGCAACUCACGUGAGUACCGUGGUUUGUUGCUAUGGUGAUUGCCAGGGGAGCUGGAGUAUUAUAGGUGUUUAUCCUAGACAGGAGCAGGCUACUCUCUAUCUAUCAGGACAUGCCACACAGUUUGGACCACACAAUAAGAUCAACACAUGCAGUCACAUGAGGGCAAAUGAAAGACAUAUUCAAAUGCAUUGAUAUUCCAAGGAAAAAGUAACCUUGUAUAAACACAAAGUUGUUGGUUUAAUGCGUUGAUCCAAAUGUUUGUUUUUGGAGAGAAUAGACUGUGAGCUAAAAGAGGGAAACAGAGAAAAAUGGGUCGAGUCAGAGAAGCUAUUAGAAACUGCACACCAUAGUUAAAAGCAAUGAAAAAUGUGUUAAAAACAGAAUAAAACCGCCAGAGGUCCCCCAUGGAUUCACGCUCAGGAUGUGGUCUAAAGAAAAAAAGAAUAUUGGCGUGAGUGUGAAUUUUUAAGGAAAAGUGGAUAUAAAUGGGGGAACACAAUGGCGGCUAGAAAAAAGCAGAAGUGUCUCCCUUCAUGCAUAAAUUACACACAUCAUUUACAUAUUCAUUAUGUUUUGUGUUAUAAUGAGAGUAUUUGCUUAAUAGCUUCACCACCACUGGCAGCUUUUGUUUGACACAACAGAAUUUAAAGAGUGGGGGAAAAAAAGAGAAAAAACAAAGGAUCGUAGGUCAUCUCCGUAAAGUGGGUGAGGUCAAUGGUACACAAUCAAUUUUACUGAUAAUCGCAUCAAUCAUAAUGCUGUAUGGUGAGAACAAGCACAACCUGCUCAGGGCUCUUAGAGAAGUGAAAUGAAGCAAGGAGAGAGAGGGGGGUUGGUAAAAGUUAAUUAAAACAACACAGCUUUCUCCAAACUCAGGGCUUUGGUCGUCCUUCUCUUGUCUCCGUGGAAUAAGUAACCGCAGCUGUAAUUACCUGCAGGGCAGCCACCGAGAUCAUUCCUUCAGGUGCUAAAAUAGUCCUCCAGAUGACAAUCAAGGCAGACAAUUUGUGUCGGUCCUAUGGGGGGAAAAAAAGUUCCAAAUGUUUCAGUGAAUUGAUGUUGGCUGUGUGGGCGAUGAUAUGUAAUAAACUGAGAGAGUUAACGAUUUAAAAAGUGAAUAAAUGAAAUUAGCUGAAGAAAGUGGGACGGAAAUAUAGAGACAGGGGGAAGGGCAAUGGAAGAAUGAACUACAAAUGAGAGCGAUGGCGGUGGCAGGUUGGCACGGUGCCAUCCAGUCAGGACUGAAGCAGGGGCGGGCAUGGGCAUGGGCGAAGGGGCGAGGAGAAUAAGAGUGAAAGACGAGGAGAAACAGACCUCCACAGUGCUUCUAUGAUGCCACCUUGGCACAGGCAGAGUGGGGCAUCAUGAACGGGAAACCGGGCAGGGAAAAGGACAAUAUGGAAAAGACCCGGGUAAAGCGGAGCUUUGAACCACAGCGUGCCAGCCAGCGGGCAGUGUGCCAGUUUGUCCUCAUGGCUUACCCGAAGCACUUAAAGCAGAUGGCGGAGAAUUGUUGCAGUCAAAAACAAAGGGACUCACCUCAGAGGAUUUGCCUCUAAUCACUGUUUGCUCGGACAAAGCCAAGAGGAAGUGCCCGGGCAACGGUUGCCAGCGGUUGUGAUGGCAUCUUUUGACUGGUUUCAGGGCAAUGGAAGAAAGGUGGCAUGCUGCCAAGGCAACGCAUUUGUAAACAGAAACAUCGAUAUGUUGAGCGGAACAUUUCAAAUGCCUUGGAUAUUUUUGGCAAAAACAUUACUUCAAGGGAAAGGCUAAAAAGAUAAAUGGCAUCACGCCAAACAAAAAUCACGAGGCAUUUACAGGCGCUGUCAAAAGCUAUACUAGCAGGUGGAGAAUUGCAGCCCAAAAAUAGUAACAACGUGGUACAACUACACUCACAAAUGGAGCUUUUGUGAGUGCAUGGCUCAAGAAGCCCAUUGCCUUGAUGCCAACUCGACCGUGUGCCAGCUGGCUGCACUGAAGGGAAGGUUGCUGGACAUUACAUGGAAUGAAGAGAAGUGAAUCUACCAUUUUUCCUUAGAGAGGAAGAGAAAUAAUGAGCAAAAGAAGUAAAGGAUGUGGAAGGAAUUUGUGCUUAACGAAGAACAGUGGGAGUGGGUGGACAGAGAUGAUGAAGAGCCUCUUUCCUGCUCUUGCACAUGUUCUUAAAGGGAAAUCCCCUCAGACUGCUAUAUGUGUAAAAAGAAGGUAUGUGUUGGCAUCAUCUCCAGGGUGUCAAGCUGUGUUUCUCCACUGCCAUCCAGGGAGGGUGCUGCUGGAGUCAUCAAGGGCGAGCAACAGUCUGGGCAUCUCAUCUGCAGCUAAUUAACAGCCACACACUAAUUCUAACAGCCGAUCAUAAUUAGUGAUUUAAUCGCUCGUCAGCCCUCUCCCCCGCCCCCUUAAAUUGCGCCUCCUAUUUGGACACGUGCGGAUAAGCCAAAGAACGCUUGAUCCCAGCCCCCACCUCCCUCCACUCUUCCUCGAUGCGUCUUUUCUUCAUCCUUGGCUCCAGACUCCAGUGGGAUCUUAAUUAAGCCUGGGCUUCAUUAUGCAAAUGGAGUACAAUAAGCGACAGCAGAGGUGGAGUUGGAUACAGACUGAAAAGGAGUGAUGGUAGUGGAAAGCUGGAAAUGGAAAACAUGUGAAAACCUACAAAAAUGAUCUUCUCAUGUUACUAUGUUGCAGUAAUUGUGUGUCGUUCUAACAUGGAUUUCUUCAGUGCUUGCGCUACUACCACAUGUUGUCUGAGAGCAAACACCUCAUGCAAUGAAGCUGCAUAGCUGCUGCCUAGGGGAAAACUUCCCUGAAACAACACUGGAUAUUCAGAAUGUCAUCUCUCACAAAGAAAAUUCUCAAGGGAAUCAUGACAAUGAACCUCUUAAUAUCACCAGUUGGCUGGAUACGGAGAGAGAUGGUAGAGAUAGGGGGAAAGAAAAGGAGGCAGACAGAAACACUGACAGUGGCAGCAGCAUGGCAGCUAAUGUCAUCUCAGUUUAAUCAUCGCAUAGGAUCAUGGGGUUCAUGAAAAUUCAUUUGCAUAUCAUUAAAUGGAGAGAGGUUAUUUGGUGCGGGCCAACAAAAUAGGAUUGGAAGAAGGAAGGGGGUGAAAAAAAGGAAAAUAGUUGGGCUCGUUAUUAAACUGCAAUGUUUUAUAGUCUGCCAGCCGAUUCAUUUAAUUUGAAUGUAAUUAAAAUGUGUCAGGCUCAAUCAAUCAUGCCAACAGGGAUACUAUCAAUGUAUCAGUCUGAAAAAGGACUAAUCAGAGGAUAUGCACUUGGACACUUUCCAAUAACAGUCAAUGAGAGUGGGCUAUAAUCCUCUGGAAGCUUGACCAACCUCCUUCUUCAGUCGACUAUGCAAAAGUGCAAAUAUUGUGUAUUAUGUAAAAGCUGUGAAAGAUUGUGACAUGUAGUGCUUAGUGAGAGGGUGUGCCACUUUGUUCAGUGUUGUCAUAUUGCCCUACAUGUUUUCCUAUUGUUGUAUUUUUGGUAGAAGAAUUUUUCAGGUAUGAAAUAGGAGCCGUCUUCACCUGGACAUUUCAUAUAAACCAUGCAUCUAUUUGGAACCACCAGGUGGACAUUUCGUGCAACUAGUUUGACAACAGAUGAUUUAAACUAUGUUUAAUAGUAGUAAUAGUCUACUACUGGGAAAUAUGGUCAUUGUGACUGCAGUAAUUAAAAUAUACAAGCAUUAUUGCUUAGGUUGUUGGUUUUGUCAGUGGCUCCAGGUCUUAUUUCUGUAACAAAUUCAUGUAUGGAAAUUACAUUGUGUAAUACAUUUUAAAGCUGUAAAGUAUUUUGUGAAAUUAUGAUGAGAAAUGGUCAUAAAAAUAUGCAUAUUUCACAUUA